UUUCCAUUGUGGACAAAGAUGGCAAUGCCGUUUCGUUAACAACGACACUGAAUGGAUCGUACGGUUCGGCCGUGGUGGUAAA
Molecule: transfer RNA, 82 nt
Filed under: compost metagenome
Description: tRNA-Val
Source: RNAcentral